Molecule: ribosomal RNA, 668 nt
Filed under: uncultured fungus
Lineage: Eukaryota; Fungi
Description: eukaryotic LSU rRNA
Rfam family: 5.8S ribosomal RNA (bases 251-404)
Source: RNAcentral
AUAUGAGUUUGUAUGCUCACUCUUUACUGGGUGUGUUAUACACAACUUCUAUUGUAAACGUUGAACUAGAUCAUUGGUGUGUGGAUUGUGUUUAUCUCUUCUUUUUGAUUGGGUAGGCAUAUCCCACACUGAUAACCUAUAUUUAAUAUAUACAAACAAUAUAUACUACCAAACAAACAAAAAUAAAUCUUAAUAGGACUUAUAAACAGUUGAGUGGGUAAAAGCCUCGACUAAAAAUAUAACAAAAUACAACUUUCAGCAAUGGAUCUCUAGGCUCUCGCAUCGAUGAAGAACGCAGCGAAUUGCGAAACGUAAUGUGACUUGCAACCCUCGUGAAUCAUCGAAUCUUUGAACGCAUCUUGCACUAUUCGGCUUCCCCGGAUAGUAUGCCUGGUUGAGUGUCUGUGUAUCUCUCCUAAUUCAACAUUUGUUUGUUGGAAUAGGGACUUGGGGUCUUUCUCGUCAGCAAUAACUCUGUUAUUAAUGGUGAACCCUUUAAAUAUAGCAAGCUCCCAUCUUUUAUCGGAAAUACGCAAACUUGGGGAUGGCGUCGUAGCAAUCACUCUUAUCAGUAUUGUCGAAGCGCCUAUAUCAUACCUCUAAUCUGCGGUGCUAAUCCUUUUUCGGUGGGCGAAGCUUGGCGACUGGCAAAGUGCCAUGCUCCCUUA